Molecule: ribosomal RNA, 429 nt
Filed under: Pseudomonadota bacterium
Lineage: Bacteria; Pseudomonadati; Pseudomonadota
Description: Proteobacteria bacterium partial 16S ribosomal RNA
Rfam family: Bacterial small subunit ribosomal RNA
Source: RNAcentral
UGGGGAAUAUUGGACAAUGGGCGAAAGCCUGAUCCAGCCAUGCCGCGUGUGUGAAGAAGGUCUUCGGAUUGUAAAGCACUUUAAGUUGGGAGGAAGGGCAGUAAGCGAAUACCUUGCUGUUUUGACGUUACCGACAGAAUAAGCACCGGCUAACUCUGUGCCAGCAGCCGCGGUAAUACAGAGGGUGCAAGCGUUAAUCGGAAUUACUGGGCGUAAAGCGCGCGUAGGUGGUUCGUUAAGUUGAAUGUGAAAGCCCCGGGCUCAUCCUGGGAACUGCAUCCAAAACUGGCGAGCUAGAGUAGGGCAGAGGGUGGUGGAAUUUCCUGUGUAGCGGUGAAAUGCGUAGAUAUAGGAAGGAACACCAGUGGCGAAGGCGACCACCUGGGCUCAUACUGACACUGAGGUGCGAAAGCGUGGGGAGCAAACAGG